AAGGGUAUAGCUCAAGUGUUAAAGCGUGUGCCCAGCAUGCACAAGAUCCUGGGUUCAGUUCCCAGUACCCCCU
Molecule: transfer RNA, 73 nt
Filed under: Camelus bactrianus (Bactrian camel)
Lineage: Eukaryota; Metazoa; Chordata; Mammalia; Artiodactyla; Camelidae
Also listed under: 2 other names
Rfam family: tRNA
About the family: Transfer RNA (tRNA) molecules are approximately 80 nucleotides in length. Their secondary structure includes four short double-helical elements and three loops (D, anti-codon, and T loops). Further hydrogen bonds mediate the characteristic L-shaped molecular structure. tRNAs have two regions of fundamental functional importance: the anti-codon, which is responsible for specific mRNA codon recognition, and the 3' end, to which the tRNAs corresponding amino acid is attached (by aminoacyl-tRNA synthetases). tRNAs cope with the degeneracy of the genetic code in two manners: having more than one tRNA (with a specific anti-codon) for a particular amino acid; and 'wobble' base-pairing, i.e. permitting non-standard base-pairing at the 3rd anti-codon position.
Source: Rfam by way of RNAcentral